Long non-coding RNA from Micropterus salmoides (largemouth bass), 951 nucleotides. RefSeq lists it as uncharacterized. NCBI's taxonomy places the organism in Eukaryota, Metazoa, Chordata, Actinopteri, Centrarchiformes, Centrarchidae. The transcript has 7 exons. The record is from RefSeq and is a predicted model, not a curated record.
GGUGAAGCAAUCAAGGAGAAACAGAAAGUAAAUUAGUUGCCAGCGUGUCAGAUGUGUGUUUUAAAAUGAUCCGUAUUUCAUCUUAUAUUCUGUCAUGAAGAGUUAAAUUAUCUCCAUAAUGAAGUUGUUUCUCGUUUUCAUGACCUCUCUCUCUCUGGUGGACGCUGCAGGAGAGUCUGCUGUGAUUGGCUCACAUGAACCAGUUAAAGUAGUUGUUGGUGAAGAUGUCAUUCUGCCAUGUCACCUGGAGCCCCCAUUUGACAUGACGACUCUAACGGUGGAGUGGAAAUACCAUGAAGGCAUUGUGCACCUCUAUAGACAUAGGACGGACUAUCUAGCUGAUCAGGAGAAAAAUUUUAAAGGUAGAACAUCUCUCUUCCGUGAUGAAAUGUCCAGAGGAAACAUUUCACUAAAACUGACCAACGUCACUGAACAGGAUGAAGGAAAUUACACCUGCUUUGUUCCCAAACUGGGAAGUCAGCUCAGAGAAGGCUACGUUAUGCUCAUUGUUGAGAAAAGCCAGAACGCGAUGAAGGAAGUCUGACUAAUGACAGCAGUGCUGACACUGGCACUGCUGGCAUUAGUAAUAUUACUGUUGCUGCCGUUGUUUUUGUUGUUGUUGUUGUUGUUGUUGUUGUUGUUGUUGUUUCUGUAUUACUGAAGAAAAAGAAAAAGACAGAACGCAAUGAGGGAAGUCUGACUGAUGGUGCGCAAUGGAUGACCUUAUCACUGGAGCAGCAGCCGAUCCCUCUUCAUCUCCUACUGAGGACGUGAGACAAGGACAAAAAGAGAGACGCAACAAGCAACGAAGACGGCCUUCAGGAAGGUUUUCCUAUGGCAGAAAACGAAACUAGUACCUGGUGAUAACUCCUGGUUCUUUGACCCACCUACCAAACAAAAAAUACGCUUUUAGUCCAUCCAAAUAUUCAAAUAAUUAAAAGUAAAACAUCC